ACCCUCCGGUUCCCUUUCCCAUUGCAUCUGAACCUGGUCUUGAUGGUCACACAAGGAGGAGAGAGGAACACUGAAGCCGGCCUCUGUGCUGUAGCCUGGUUGCACCCUGGGGGUGUUUCAGACACAC
RNAcentral lists this small nucleolar RNA (127 nucleotides) under Tupaia belangeri (northern tree shrew). RNAcentral describes it as "Small nucleolar RNA SNORA61 (ENSTBEG00000020320.1)". The record is from RNAcentral. Lineage: Eukaryota; Metazoa; Chordata; Mammalia; Scandentia; Tupaiidae.